Molecule: ribosomal RNA, 494 nt
Filed under: Ischyropsalis luteipes
Lineage: Eukaryota; Metazoa; Arthropoda; Arachnida; Opiliones; Ischyropsalididae
Description: partial 16S ribosomal RNA
Rfam family: Bacterial large subunit ribosomal RNA
Source: RNAcentral
UUCUUUUAGCUAGAUAAUUAAAAGUAAAACCUGCUCAAUGAUUAAAUAAAUUAAAUAGCCGCAGUAUUUUAACUGCGCUAAGGUAGCAUAAUCAUUUGUCCUUUAAUUGGGGGCUUGUAUGAAAGGUUUAAUGAAAGAAAAACUUUCUUAGGAUAAAAAGUUAAAAUUAAAUUAUUAGUAAAAAUUCUAAUAUGAAAUUAUAAGACGACAAGACCCUAUUAAGCUAAAUAUUAGCAUUAAUAUUAACUUAAAAAUUAAAAGUAAAUAUUUCACUGGGGCGGUGUUGGAAUAAUAAGAAACUUUUAUUUAUUUAAAUAGAGUAGAGCCAUAAAUGAAUUAUGAUAAUAUGAUUAAGUUACUAUAGGGAUAACAGCAUAAUUUUUUUGUAGAGUUCUAAUCGAUAGAUAAGUUUGUGACCUCGAUGUUGAAUUAAAUUUCCUAUAUUAAAUGCAGAAGUUAUAUAAGGUAGUCUGUUCGACUAUUAAAUAUUUACA